RNAcentral lists this ribosomal RNA (253 nucleotides) under uncultured bacterium. RNAcentral's name for it is "partial 16S ribosomal RNA". It matches the Rfam family "Bacterial small subunit ribosomal RNA", at positions 524 to 776 of the family's 1533-position model. The record is from RNAcentral.
UACGUAGGGGGCAAGCGUUGUCCGGAAUCAUUGGGCGUAAAGCGCGUGUAGGCGGCUCGAUAAGUCCGUUCUGGAAGUCCAGGGCUCAACCCUGGGAUGCGGAUGGAUACUGUCGAGCUCGAGUCCGGAAGAGGCGAGUGGAAUUCCUGGUGUAGCGGUGAAAUGCGCAGAUAUCAGGAGGAACACCAAUGGCGAAGGCAGCUCGCUGGGACGUGACUGACGCUGAGACGCGAAAGCGUGGGGAGCAAACAGG